AACGAACGCUGGCGGCGUGUCUUAAGCAUGCAAGUCGUGCGGCAAGGGGUAGCAAUACCCCCUAGAGCGGCGGACUGGUGAGUAACGCGUGGGUGAUCUGCCCUUGGGUUGGGGAUAGCCAUUAGAAAUAGUGGGUAAUACCGAAUACGUUCGCCGGACUGUGGCCUGGCGAGGAAAAGCGCUUCGGCGCUGCCCGAGGAUGAGCCCGCGUCCCAUUAGCUAGUUGGUGGGGUAACGGCCCACCAAGGCGAUGAUGGGUAGCCGGCCUGAGAGGGUGUACGGCCACACUGGGACUGAGAUACGGCCCAGACUCCUACGGGAGGCAGCAGCUAGGAAUAUUCCGCAAUGGACGAAAGUCUGACGGAGCGACGCCGCGUGGACGAUGAAGGCCGAAAGGUUGUAAAGUCCUUUUGUCGGGGAAGAAUAACCAUGGGAGGGAAUGCCCGUGGGAUGACAUGAACCGACGAAUAAGCCCCGGCUAACUACGUGCCAGCCGCCGCGGUAA
This 505-nucleotide ribosomal RNA is filed under the name uncultured bacterium. RNAcentral describes it as "partial 16S ribosomal RNA". It matches the Rfam family "Bacterial small subunit ribosomal RNA", at positions 29 to 523 of the family's 1533-position model. The record is from RNAcentral.